AUUGAGCGCUGGCGGCAGGCCUAACACAUGCAAGUCGAACGGUAACAGGAAGAAGCUUGCUUCUUUGCUGACGAGUGGCGGACGGGUGAGUAAUGUCCGGGAAACUGCCUGAUGGAGGGGGAUAACUACUGGAAACGGUAGCUAAUACCGCAUAACGUCGCAAGACCAAAGAGGGGGACCUUCGGGCCUCUUGCCAUCGGAUGUGCCCAGAUGGGAUUAGCUAGUAGGUGGGGUAACGGCUCACCUAGGCGACGAUCCCUAGCUGGUCUGAGAGGAUGACCAGCCACACUGGAACUGAGACACGGUCCAGACUCCUACGGGAGGCAGCAGUGGGGAAUAUUGCACAAUGGGCGCAAGCCUGAUGCAGCCAUGCCGCGUGUAUGAAGAAGGCCUUCGGGUUGUAAAGUACUUUCAGCGGGGAGGAAGGGAGUAAAGUUAAUACCUUUGCUCAUUGACGUUACCCGCAGAAGAAGCACCGGCUAACUCCGUG
RNAcentral lists this ribosomal RNA (490 nucleotides) under uncultured bacterium. RNAcentral's name for it is "partial 16S ribosomal RNA". It matches the Rfam family "Bacterial small subunit ribosomal RNA", at positions 30 to 507 of the family's 1533-position model. The record is from RNAcentral.